ACGCUGGCGGCAGGCCUAACACAUGCAAGUCGAGCGGUAGAGAGAAGCUUGCUUCUCUUGAGAGCGGCGGACGGGUGAGUAAUGCCUAGGAAUCUGCCUGGUAGUGGGGGAUAACGUUCGGAAACGGACGCUAAUACCGCAUACGUCCUACGGGAGAAAGCAGGGGACCUUCGGGCCUUGCGCUAUCAGAUGAGCCUAGGUCGGAUUAGCUAGUUGGUGAGGUAAUGGCUCACCAAGGCAACGAUCCGUAACUGGUCUGAGAGGAUGAUCAGUCACACUGGAACUGAGACACGGUCCAGACUCCUACGGGAGGCAGCAGUGGGGAAUAUUGGACAAUGGGCGAAAGCCUGAUCCAGCCAUGCCGCGUGUGUGAAGAAGGUCUUCGGAUUGUAAAGCACUUUAAGUUGGGAGGAAGGGCAUUAACCUAAUACGUUAGUGUUUUGACGUUACCGACAGAAUAAGCACCGGCUAACUCUGUGCCAGCAGCCGCGGUAAUACAGAGGGUGCAAGCGUUAAUCGGAAUUACUGGGCGUAAAGCGCGCGUAGGUGGUUUGUUAAGUUGGAUGCGAAAUCCCCGGGCUCAACCUGGGAACUGCAUUCAAAACUGACUGACUAGAGUAUGGUAGAGGGUGGUGGAAUUUCCUGUGUAGCGG
RNAcentral lists this ribosomal RNA (653 nucleotides) under uncultured bacterium. RNAcentral's name for it is "bacterial SSU rRNA". It matches the Rfam family "Bacterial small subunit ribosomal RNA", at positions 33 to 681 of the family's 1533-position model. The record is from RNAcentral.